AUGUUAUGGAGUUGUGGUGCUCCUCCAAAGGUGUGUGUGUUUGCAUGGAAGGCAGCAAGGGGGGUGUUGGCUACAAAGGAAAAUAAACAAUGUAGACAAUUGGAGCAUGAUGGGAUUUGUACCAUAUGCGGUCAGGAAACAAAGUCAAAUUUUCAUGCACUGGUUCGAUGCCCACAUGCUCGUAACUUAUGGACUGCCAUGAGAUCAGUAUGGGACUUUCCAGCUGAUGAUCUUCUCAAAGGUACAGAACCAGAAUGGUUGCUGUUGUGUAUUCAGCAGCUCAAUGAGACACAAAGGUUGUUGUUGCUCAUGUUAUUAUGGUGUAUAUGGCAUGUCCGUAAUGAACUUACCCAUAACAAGACAAUCAUCCCGGUUGAGGCCUCGAAGAAAUUCCUAUGCAGCUAUAUGGAAUCGUUGCUACAGAUUAAACAACACCAGGGGGUGGAUGUGUUGAAGGGUAAACAUGUUGUUAUUUACUCAGGCCAGGCAAGUCAUAAGGGAGCUAGGACGACGUCGGUGGAGAUUGUAAACUGGAUUCCCCCACCAUGUGGUGUUUCCAAGCUAAACAUUGACGGAUCCUUCAUCCAAGCAGACGGAAUGGCGGGCGCUGGAAUGAUACUCAGAGACCAUAAGGGUACGGUAAUUUAUGCGGCUUGCGGGUCGCUCUUGAACUGCUCGGGUGCUCUUGAGGCUGAUCUUGCGGCAUGUGACGAGGGCCUAUGAUUAGCGCUACAAUUGACUGAACUACCACUUUAGGUGGAAAUGGAUUGCUCUUGA
This 777-nucleotide ribosomal RNA is filed under the name Triticum aestivum (bread wheat). RNAcentral's name for it is "partial small subunit ribosomal RNA". The record is from RNAcentral. Lineage: Eukaryota; Viridiplantae; Streptophyta; Magnoliopsida; Poales; Poaceae.